CAUAACAGUUACAGAAAGGCUCCAUUUUCAGAUAUUGCUGGGAAAAACAGAAGAAUACCGGAAUGGUUAACUUUGCCUCUCUAGAAUUACUCUGCAUCAUUCCUGAAAAGACUUAAAAUAGUACUCGUCAAUCCUGUUAAAAUGAUCAGCUGCCUGCCAGAGCUACAGACGGAACAAAAGCUCCCUUCCCUCUCUGAUUUGCUUAAAGCAGUUUCAGCCUAAAGGGUUACCAGAUGCAGAGAAAGACGAGGCUCCUGGAGAAAAGGAAACUCUGACUCAUGCAGCUUUUCAUUAGCUAUACUUGCCAAAAGCCCCUCUUCAACACAACUUGUAAAAGAUAACAAGAGGCUUGUCUUUUGCAUCUGGUCAUUGUUUCCCUGUUUACUGUUUGAUUUCUCUGAAAACCCUAAACAA
Long non-coding RNA from Elgaria multicarinata webbii, 414 nucleotides. RefSeq lists it as uncharacterized. The transcript has 4 exons. NCBI's taxonomy places the organism in Eukaryota, Metazoa, Chordata, Lepidosauria, Squamata, Anguidae. The record is from RefSeq and is a predicted model, not a curated record.